RNAcentral lists this transfer RNA (74 nucleotides) under Cosmoscarta sp. TS-2017. RNAcentral describes it as "tRNA-Ile". Lineage: Eukaryota; Metazoa; Arthropoda; Insecta; Hemiptera; Cercopidae. The record is from RNAcentral.
AAUAAGAUGCCUGAUAAAAUUUUAAAGGAUUAUUUUGAUGUAAUAAAUUAUGUGAUAAUUAUUCACUCUUAUUA